Molecule: ribosomal RNA, 465 nt
Filed under: Vreelandella stevensii
Lineage: Bacteria; Pseudomonadati; Pseudomonadota; Gammaproteobacteria; Oceanospirillales; Halomonadaceae
Description: partial 16S ribosomal RNA
Rfam family: Bacterial small subunit ribosomal RNA
Source: RNAcentral
CCUACGGGCGGCUGCAGUGGGGAAUAUUGGACAAUGGGGGGAACCCUGAUCCAGCCAUGUCGCGUGUGUGAAGAAGGCCCUCGGGUUGUAAAGCACUUUCAGUGAGGAAGAACGCCUGGUGGUUAAUACCCAUCAGGAAAGACAUCACUCACAGAAGAAGCACCGGCUAACUCCGUGCCAGCAGCCGCGGUAAUACGGAGGGUGCGAGCGUUAAUCGGAAUUACUGGGCGUAAAGCGCGCGUAGGUGGCUUGAUAAGCCGGUUGUGAAAGCCCCGGGCUCAACCUGGGAACGGCAUCCGGAACUGUCAAGCUAGAGUGCAGGAGAGGAAGGUAGAAUUCCCGGUGUAGCGGUGAAAUGCGUAGAGAUCGGGAGGAAUACCAGUGGCGAAGGCGGCCUUCUGGACUGACACUGACACUGAGGUGCGAAAGCGUGGGUAGCAAACAGGAUUAGAUACCCUUGUAGUC